This 279-nucleotide long non-coding RNA is filed under the name Manihot esculenta (cassava). RNAcentral describes it as "long non-coding RNA (MESC_LNC001035)". Lineage: Eukaryota; Viridiplantae; Streptophyta; Magnoliopsida; Malpighiales; Euphorbiaceae. The record is from RNAcentral.
UUGAAACAAAAUUCAUAAAGUAUACAUACAAUGGUCCAUACAUACAUCAUUCCGGAUAAAUACAAAAACACAUAUAAUGUAAUAGACAUGGUUUUAGAAAUUAUUAUUACUCAAUAAUAUUUCAAGAUACAUAAGCAUAGAGUUAAAUAAUUCUAAUGUCCGUUCUAUUUCUCUACAAUCACAAUAUUCAUUAUGGUUGGUAGUAUGGUAAUCGCUAAUAAAUCUUCCUUGUUCAAUUAUAUUUCUUUUAAAUGCUUCUACUUCUCUUUUAUUUGUUAA